UCCCCAGACUCCUACGGGAGGCAGCAGUGGGGGAUAUUGCACAAUGGGGGGAACCCUGAUGCAGCGACGCCGCGUGGGUGAAGGAGUGCUUCGGCCUGUAAAGCCCUAUCGGCAGGGAAGAAGCAAGACGGUACCUGACUAAGGAGCCCCGGCUAACUACGUGCCAGCAGCCGCGGUAAUACGUAGGGGGCGAGCGUUAUCCGGAUUCACUGGGUGUAAAGGGAGCGUAGACGGCCAUGCAAGCCAGGGGUGAAAGCCCGGGGCCCAACCCCGGGACUGCCCUUGGAACUGCAUGGCUGGAGUGCGGGAGGGGCAGGCGGAAUUCCUGGUGUAGCGGUGAAAUGCGUAGAUAUCAGGAGGAACACCGGCGGCGAAGGCGGCCUGCUGGACCGCGACUGACGUUGAGGCUCGAAAGCGUGGGGAGCAAACAGGAUUAGAUACCCUUGUAUAU
RNAcentral lists this ribosomal RNA (451 nucleotides) under uncultured bacterium. RNAcentral's name for it is "bacterial SSU rRNA". It matches the Rfam family "Bacterial small subunit ribosomal RNA", at positions 328 to 794 of the family's 1533-position model. The record is from RNAcentral.